Molecule: ribosomal RNA, 464 nt
Filed under: uncultured bacterium
Lineage: Bacteria
Description: partial 16S ribosomal RNA
Rfam family: Bacterial small subunit ribosomal RNA
Source: RNAcentral
CCUACGGGUGGCUGCAGUGGGGAAUAUUGCGCAAUGGGCGAAAGCCUGACGCAGCGACGCCGCGUGAGGGAUGAAGGUCUUCGGAUCGUAAACCUCUGUCAGCAGGGAAGAACGGUCACUGUGCUAAUCAGCAGUGAAUUGACGGUACCUGCAAAGGAAGCACCGGCUAACUCAGUGCCAGCAGCCGCGGUAAUACGGAGGGUGCGAGCGUUAAUCGGAAUUACUGGGCGUAAAGCGCUCGUAGGCGGGCUGUUAAGUCAGCGGUAAAAGCCCGGGGCUCAACCCCGGCGAGCCGUUGAAACUGGCUGUCUUGAGAUGUCGAGAGGUAUGCGGAAUGCGUAGUGUAGCGGUGAAAUGCUUAGAUAUUGCGCAGAACUCCGAUUGCGAAGGCAGCAUACCGGCGGCGAUCUGACGCUGAGGCACGAAAGCGUGGGUAUCGAACAGGAUUAGAUACCCCUGUAGUC